GACGAACGCUGGCGGCGGGCUUAACACAUGCAAGUCGAACGGAAAGGCCCUGCUUGUUUGGGGUGCUCGAGUGGCGAACGGGUGAGUAACACGUGAGUAACCUGCCCUUGACUUUGGGAUAACUUCAGGAAACUGGGGCUAAUACCGGAUAGGAGCUCCUGCUGCAUGGUGGGGGUGGGAAAGUUGCGGCGGGUGGGGAUGGAUGCGCGGCUUAUCGGCUUGUUGGUGGGGUAGUGGCUUACCAAGGCUUUGACGGGUAGCCGGCCUGUGAGGGUGACCGGCCACAUUGGGCCUGAGGUACGGCCCAGACUCGAACGGGAGGCAACGGUGGGGAGUCUUGCACAGUGGGCGGACGCCUGAUGCAGCAACGCCGCGUGCGGGAAGACGGCCUUCGGGUUGUGAACCGCAUUCGCCUGUGACGAAGCGUGAGUGACGGUAAUGGGUGAAGAAGCACCGGCUAACUACGUG
RNAcentral lists this ribosomal RNA (468 nucleotides) under uncultured bacterium. RNAcentral's name for it is "partial 16S ribosomal RNA". It matches the Rfam family "Bacterial small subunit ribosomal RNA", at positions 28 to 507 of the family's 1533-position model. The record is from RNAcentral.